CGAUUACUAUAAAUUUAAUGCACACGGAAUAUUUCAAGAGCUUUAUAUUUAAAUGUGACUUCAAUCGUUAUAUGAAAAUGGUCGAGCUUUAUAUUUGCUGGAAACAUUGUUGUCGACAAUGAAAACUAUAACAAGGCAUUAGUUUCAGAUUUAUCCUUUGAAUUCGAAGAGUCUUUUACCAGGAAGUCUUUUUACUCUGAUCGAGUUGAGAGAAAGGGCUGCCAAAUUUGCCAAGUGCACUGUUGAAAUUCAGAUGGCAUGAUUUACGAUCGGUCCUAUAUCGCGUUACGGGGUAUGGGCAGCAGACUGGAGUAAAUCAUUAUUGAACUCUGGAUCCAGAUUAUGAAGCUUCUCAGGUUGAUUGUCCAUGCAGUUGAUUAAUCUAGUUUUUUCUAUAUUUUGUGCAAAAUCAGAUAUUAUAUGCCUUUUCUCAAACCUUUCUCUGAAAUAUUCCUUCUGUGCAUGCUUUAUCAUCCACUACAUUGAAUUCCUUGGCCAAAUGGCUCAACAAGGGUGUAUAUAUAGAGGCCGGAAAAAGGUUCACUGGAGCCCAUCUUCGCGCGCUGCUCCUGCUGAGGCCGGAGUUGGAAUAUCCAGAAGGGCAUGUUUCAAAAAGUACACAUGCCAUGUUCAAGUUAGUCAGUGCCUCUCCAUCUUUGGGUAGCUCAAUAGACGAGUUUCUACCCAACUUGUGCUUGGCUAUGUGGACGACGACCCCAUGGACAGUUCCAGCAAAUGCAGACUGGAUGCAGGGUUAAAUUCUUUAUUUGGCGAUGUGCACCUGUUGCAGCUAAUGGGAAACUCUAGUAUAUGCCAUAGUCGAAGUGGAUUCUGUAUCAGGAGCUGCUUCUCAACCUGGAGGGGACAUUGCAAGCAAAAUGGGGCUUGAGAUUCUCUGUGAAGAAAGUCCUACUUGGUUCAGAUCUUGAAAACUGCAGGUGCGCCCAUCCAAUAGAUAACAGGGAAUGCAUUACGAUGGGGUCAGGAACUGGGAUGGUCCAUACAGCUCCUGGUCAUGGUCAAGAGGAUUACCAAACAGGCCAGAAGUACGGACUGCCAACUCUUUCUCCUGUAGAUGAUGAUGGGAAGUUCACUGAAGAGGCUGGACAAUUCAGUGGAUUAGAUGUGCUUGGAGACGGCAACACGGCAGUAGUAAACUACUUGAAUGAACAGUCGGUGUUAGUAAUGGAGGAAC
Molecule: non-coding RNA, 1195 nt
Organism: Punica granatum (pomegranate)
Lineage: Eukaryota; Viridiplantae; Streptophyta; Magnoliopsida; Myrtales; Lythraceae
Source: RefSeq, a predicted model, not a curated record